RNAcentral lists this small nuclear RNA (325 nucleotides) under Aotus nancymaae (Ma's night monkey). Its description in RNAcentral is "7SK RNA (ENSANAG00000008387.1)". It matches the Rfam family "7SK RNA". Rfam says of the family: 7SK was discovered as an abundant small nuclear RNA in the mid-70s but a possible function has only recently been suggested. Two independent studies have found that 7SK RNA binds the CDK9/cyclin T complex (known as elongation factor P-TEFb). The record is from RNAcentral. Lineage: Eukaryota; Metazoa; Chordata; Mammalia; Primates; Aotidae.
UGAUGUGAGGGCAAUCUGGCUGUGACAUCUGUCACUCCAUUGAUUGCCAGGGUUGAUUUGGCUGAUCUGGCUGGCUAGGCGGGUGUCCCCUUCUUCCCAUACUGCUCCACGUGCAUCCCUCCUGAAGCUGCGGGCUCAGUCAAAGAGGACAACCAUCCUGAUAAAGCAGGACCAGUCUUCAGUCAAGGGUAUAUGAGUAGAUGCUCUUCCUAGCUAGAAUCUCCAAACAAGCUCUCAAGGUCCAUUGUAGGAGAAUGUAGAGUAGUCAAACUUCCAAGAUUUCAGACACAUCCAAAUGAGGUGCUGCAUGUGGCAGUCUGCCUUU